Molecule: ribosomal RNA, 497 nt
Filed under: uncultured bacterium
Lineage: Bacteria
Description: partial 16S ribosomal RNA
Rfam family: Bacterial small subunit ribosomal RNA
Source: RNAcentral
GAUGAACGCUGGCGGCGUGCCUAAUACAUGCAAGUCGAGCGAACAGACGAGGAGCUUGCUCCUCUGACGUUAGCGGCGGACGGGUGAGUAACACGUGGAUAACCUACCUAUAAGACUGGGAUAACUUCGGGAAACCGGAGCUAAUACCGGAUAAUAUAUUGAACCGCAUGGUUCAAUAGUGAAAGACGGUUUUGCUGUCACUUAUAGAUGGAUCCGCGCCGCAUUAGCUAGUUGGUAAGGUAACGGCUUACCAAGGCGACGAUGCGUAGCCGACCUGAGAGGGUGAUCGGCCACACUGGAACUGAGACACGGUCCAGACUCCUACGGGAGGCAGCAGUAGGGAAUCUUCCGCAAUGGGCGAAAGCCUGACGGAGCAACGCCGCGUGAGUGAUGAAGGUCUUCGGAUCGUAAAACUCUGUUAUUAGGGAAGAACAAAUGUGUAAGUAACUAUGCACGUCUUGACGGUACCUAAUCAGAAAGCCAAGGCUAACUACGUG